This 27-nucleotide small RNA is filed under the name Bombyx mori (domestic silkworm). Its description in RNAcentral is "ovarian small RNA-25891". Lineage: Eukaryota; Metazoa; Arthropoda; Insecta; Lepidoptera; Bombycidae. The record is from RNAcentral.
UCAUACAAUGGUGUUAUCAAAGUUGCU